CCUACGGGUGGCAGCAGUGGGGAAUAUUGGACAAUGGGCGAAAGCCUGAUCCAGCCAUGCCGCGUGUGUGAAGAAGGCCUUCGGGUUGUAAAGCACUUUCAGUGGGGAAGAAAGCCUUGGGGCUAAUACCCUCGAGGAAGGACAUCACCCACAGAAGAAGCACCGGCUAACUCCGUGCCAGCAGCCGCGGUAAUACGGAGGGUGCGAGCGUUAAUCGGAAUUACUGGGCGUAAAGCGCGCGUAGGCGGUCUGAUAAGCCGGGUGUGAAAGCCCCGGGCUCAACCUGGGAACGGCAUCCGGAACUGUCAGGCUAGAGUGCAGUAGAGGAAGGUAGAAUUCCCGGUGUAGCGGUGAAAUGCGUAGAGAUCGGGAGGAAUACCAGUGGCGAAGGCGGCCUUCUGGACUGACACUGACGCUGAGGUGCGAAAGCGUGGGUAGCAAACAGGAUUAGAUACCCCAGUAGUC
RNAcentral lists this ribosomal RNA (465 nucleotides) under Vreelandella stevensii. RNAcentral describes it as "partial 16S ribosomal RNA". It matches the Rfam family "Bacterial small subunit ribosomal RNA", at positions 338 to 795 of the family's 1533-position model. Lineage: Bacteria; Pseudomonadati; Pseudomonadota; Gammaproteobacteria; Oceanospirillales; Halomonadaceae. The record is from RNAcentral.